Non-coding RNA from Podarcis lilfordi (Lilford's wall lizard), 113 nucleotides. NCBI's taxonomy places the organism in Eukaryota, Metazoa, Chordata, Lepidosauria, Squamata, Lacertidae. The record is from the annotation of a GenBank genome assembly.
GUCUUUUUGAGUCAGCUCAGUUGGUUGGAGCAUAGUUGGUUAGAGCGUAGUGCGUUAACCUGUUUCCCCAAAGGCAACAGGUAAGGUUGUGGGUUCGAUCCCCAUCUGGGACA